GACGAACGCUGGCGGCGUGCUUAACACAUGCAAGACGAACGGUAAGGCCCUUCGGGGUACACGAGUGGCGAACGGGUGAGUAACACGUGGGCGAUCUACCCUGCACUUCGGGAUAAGCCUGGGAAACUGGGUCUAAUACCGGAUAGGACCACUGCCUGCAUGGGUGGCGGUGGAAAGCUUUUGCGGUGUGGGAUGGGCCCGCGGGCUAUCAGCUUGGUGGUGGGGUAAUGGCCGACCAAGGCGACGACGGGUAGCCGGCCUGAGAGGGUGACCGGCCACACUGGGACUGAGAUACGGCCCAGACUCCUACGGGAGGCAGCAGUGGGGAAUAUUGCACAAUGGGCGCAAGCCGGAUGCAGCGACGCCGCGUGAGGGUUGACAGCCUUCGGGUUGUAAACCUCUUUCAGCACCGACGAAGCGCAAGUGACGGUAGGUGCAGAAGAAGGACCGGCCAACUACGUGCCAGCCGCCGCCGUAA
This 478-nucleotide ribosomal RNA is filed under the name uncultured bacterium. Its description in RNAcentral is "partial 16S ribosomal RNA". It matches the Rfam family "Bacterial small subunit ribosomal RNA", at positions 28 to 523 of the family's 1533-position model. The record is from RNAcentral.